Long non-coding RNA from Ctenopharyngodon idella (grass carp), 1417 nucleotides. RefSeq lists it as uncharacterized. The transcript is spliced from 2 exons. The record is from RefSeq and is a predicted model, not a curated record. NCBI's taxonomy places the organism in Eukaryota, Metazoa, Chordata, Actinopteri, Cypriniformes, Xenocyprididae.
CCUCGGUUAGUCAGACGUCACAGUGAUGCACUGAUACAGCUGAGAGAUACUGCAGCUGCUGAUGGAGGAUCACAAACAACACAAUGUUUUUUCAGACCUUUCAGAAACAUUAUUUAUUUAUUUUGAUGUACUAAGCAUGUAACAUAAUCUUUAUAUUAUAUAAAUGUUAGUGGUGCUUGGCCCUGCAAAACUUUGCCACAACAAUGUAAUCUAACUGCAGGAAAGUCCGCCACUUUAAUUGCACUUCCAUGCUUCAUCACUAGAUGGCGUGUCUGUUACAUAACUGAGUUCCCUAUCUGUCAGUCACUUUGACGUUGUGUCGAUGUGAUGACACUAGUAUAGUGUUUCUCAACCUUUUUUACUCGAUGGCCUCCUCCUUCACCAGAUCAAUACUGCAGUGCCCCCCUAAGAUGCUUGACAUUUCCUCUUAUACGACUGAGACUCCCAUCUAAAGCCUGUCGGUUCACGUCGUCUCUGAUAACAAGAACUUAAUGCUGUUGGACAGGCUGUCUCUGCUGUACAUGCCACGGACAUGAACGAGAAUAGUCCCGACCCAGCACACAUGCAGGAACUAUGCUCGUCAACCGAUUUAUUAAUAAUUAAUAAUCAUCAAUAAUUAAUAAUAAUAAUGAAAAAGUUUUCAAAAACGUAAUUUCUCUCAUCACUACAGCAAACAUUUUGAACAUGUGUAUGUUUGGCUUUAUAUUCAUUGAUACAUCAGACCAUGUAACAUUGUAUCUGGAAUGGUAAAACAUUGUUGACUUAUCUUAAGUGUCUGAAUUUCUGAGGAACUCUUAUAGCGCUGCAGGACUAGCCUACAGCAAACACUGAACCAGACUAUUAAAUGUUGAGCAAGGGAUCUCAUUGGCUGCAGGAUCAGCAGAGACCAAUCAGCCUGAGUCAUUUGGUAUUGAUGUGAUUGCUUACAGACUGCAUGUAAAGGACCGAUCGAAGCCUGUGCCAUCUUCAGUUUCAUGACUGAACUAGAUUUCUGACAUGACAGUUCUUGGAGAGUUUGUCAUGGUAAUGAAUAUGACAAUGUUAAUGUGUUUGGUCUGCUGCUGUUGAUUAUAUCUGCUGUAGAGUACAGAACUUUCCACUGCCAAAACACACACAACAUGCUGCUGCUGUACGAGCAAACAUGAAUCACCCCAUAGCAGAUCUGGACAGGUGGAGCUGGGGGAGGUGGAGGGUUUCUGAAAGUACACUGCACUGCUACAGCAAACAAUAGACAAGUGUUGAAUGUUGAGCAGCAAGAUCAUUGACUACUGAUACAGCAGGAAUCAUUCAGUUGUGUCCUGUAGAGAAUGAUGUGUAAAUGUGUAUGUCUGACUCUGUAUAUUUACUGUUACUGUGCUUUGGUGAUGUAAAGCCUUUCUUUUAACCCUGUCAGUAAAACUAUUGGACUCUGAAUGUA